RNAcentral lists this ribosomal RNA (406 nucleotides) under uncultured bacterium. RNAcentral describes it as "bacterial SSU rRNA". It matches the Rfam family "Bacterial small subunit ribosomal RNA", at positions 355 to 776 of the family's 1533-position model. The record is from RNAcentral.
UGGGGAAUAUUGGGCAAUGGACGCAAGUCUGACCCAGCAACGCCGCGUGAAGGAAGAAGGCUUUCGGGUUGUAAACUUCUUUUAAGGGGGAAGAGCAGAAGACGGUACCCCUUGAAUAAGCCACGGCUAACUACGUGCCAGCAGCCGCGGUAAUACGUAGGUGGCAAGCGUUGUCCGGAUUUACUGGGUGUAAAGGGCGUGCAGCCGGAGAGGCAAGUCAGAUGUGAAAUCCGCGGGCUCAACCCGCGAACUGCAUUUGAAACUGCUUCCCUUGAGUAUCGGAGAGGUAACCGGAAUUCCUAGUGUAGCGGUGAAAUGCGUAGAUAUUAGGAAGAACACCAGUGGCGAAGGCGGGUUACUGGACGACAACUGACGGUGAGGCGCGAAAGCGUGGGGAGCAAACAGG